CACGUAGGGGGCGAGCGUUGUCCGGAUUUAUUGGGCGUAAAGAGCUCGUAGGCGGCUCGGUAAGUCGGGUGUGAAAUUUCGAGGCUCAACCUCGAAACGCCACCCGAUACUGCUGUGGCUAGAGUCCGGUAGGGGAGCGUGGAAUUCCUGGUGUAGCGGUGAAAUGCGCAGAUAUCAGGAGGAACACCAGCGGCGAAGGCGGCGCUCUGGGCCGGUACUGACGCUGAGGAGCGAAAGCGUGGGGAGCAAACAGG
This 254-nucleotide ribosomal RNA is filed under the name uncultured bacterium. RNAcentral describes it as "partial 16S ribosomal RNA". It matches the Rfam family "Bacterial small subunit ribosomal RNA", at positions 524 to 776 of the family's 1533-position model. The record is from RNAcentral.